Molecule: long non-coding RNA, 489 nt
Filed under: Brassica napus (rape)
Lineage: Eukaryota; Viridiplantae; Streptophyta; Magnoliopsida; Brassicales; Brassicaceae
Description: long non-coding RNA (BNAP_LNC010308)
Source: RNAcentral
ACAGGUUUGGGUAUUGGGGAUUUUAGUGAGACAAAAGAGCUUUGGGGAGGAGACAGAGAGGGAGAAGAACGGGUUCUUUUUAGUGAGGGUUUAAAGGGUUUGUCAGAAGGACUUUGAGGCAAGAAAAGGAGUUUGGAAAUUUCAGGAGCAGUUUGAGUGGCGACGGUUAUAGGGGGCGGAGAUGGGGGUAGAGGAAAUAGUACGGAGGAGGUUACAGGGGAGGGAUUUAGAGAGGAAGAAUGUUGAGAGGCCGGUUCUGGGACGGUUUAGGGCUUUAUAAAUCAGUGACGCGACUUUUCACCGGCGCAACUUAACGACGACGACGGCGGAGAGCUGAUAUAGUUGAAACUCGUAAGGAAAAUCGAUGAAGUUGAAAUCAAAUCGGAGUUCGAGUCAGCGGGAAUAAACCCUAAUUUCGUGGUUCCAAUCUGGAAGUACGUACGUGAUUCAGAAUCCCGACUUUCCAGAAAAUCCAACCUACAAUAUCCG